Molecule: ribosomal RNA, 440 nt
Filed under: uncultured bacterium
Lineage: Bacteria
Description: partial 16S ribosomal RNA
Rfam family: Bacterial small subunit ribosomal RNA
Source: RNAcentral
CCUACGGGUGGCAGCAGUGGGGGAUAUUGCACAAUGGGGGGAACCCUGAUGCAGCGACGCCGCGUGGGUGAAGAAGCGCCUCGGCGCGUCAAGCUCUAUCAGCAGGGAAGAAAAUGACGGUACCUGACUAAGAAGCCCCGGCUAACUACGUGCCAGCAGCCGCGGUAAUACGUAGGGGGCAAGCGUUAUCCGGAUUUACUGGGUGUAACGGGAGCGUAGACGGUCCUGCAAGCCAGAUGUGAAAGCCCGGGGCGCAACCCCGGGACUGCAUUUGGAACUGUAAGGCUAGAGUGUCGGAGAGGCAGGCGGAAUUCCUAGUGUAGCGGUGAAAUGCGUAGAUAUUAGGAGGAACACCAGUGGCGAAGGCGGCCUGCUGGACGAUGACUGACGUUGAGGCUCGAAAGCGUGGGUAGCAAACAGGAUUAGAUACCCCGGUAGUC